UAGUUGGUUGACUGAGAACUUGUUACUUU
Molecule: non-coding RNA, 29 nt
Filed under: Mus musculus (house mouse)
Lineage: Eukaryota; Metazoa; Chordata; Mammalia; Rodentia; Muridae
Source: RNAcentral